This 1093-nucleotide long non-coding RNA is filed under the name Lepisosteus oculatus (spotted gar). RNAcentral describes it as "lncRNA (ENSLOCG00000021548.1)". The record is from RNAcentral. Lineage: Eukaryota; Metazoa; Chordata; Actinopteri; Semionotiformes; Lepisosteidae.
GUCUUGAGAAAUGGUUCAUUCUCGCUGAAGCAUUACUCGUCAAGUACGUUUUUGAUAAAACGUCUCUUAUGUUAGAAUCCAACGUUUUAAAAUCCUGUAUGUUCUUUCUGUUGCCUUUCAUCCAUAAUACACAUCCAUCCGGAUACUGUUUAAAUAAGUAAUCCCCUCUAAAAUAACUUCCACUGGAGUGAGCACGAUUCUGCGAGGCAGUUACUGUCCAGGAUUAUGUGGGGGCCGUUCACCACGUUUUGUUGGCAGUUUACAGUCCUCUAUGGGUAAAGACUCUUUAAACUGUUGUCUUACACGGACGAACCAAGCGACCAGUCGAUUCAGAUCAAGUCUUUCAAUCAGUCUGGGGUGGAAUGAAACCAGACGCCCUCCUGGGUCAGGAGGAUCUGAAGAUCUGUAGUCUAGAGCAGUUCUUCCCAACCUGUGCCACGGCCUGCAGCAGGAUCAGGUGUAAAACACACCGAUCGGGACUGUGUGUCGACCCCCUGAGCCUGCUAUUGAAGUGAGAGCCUGUUUCAGUGCAUGAAAAGUGAAAUCAAACAUUUCUUGUGGAACUGGUAGUCAGUUCCUGUUACAGAUACUGGAAGUGUCGAUGUGUUUGCAGUACUGGUGCUGGGGAUUUGAAGUUGUCGGGUGUGCCGCAGGAGGUUAAGAGCCGAGGGGGUUUGGAAAGCGCUGGGGGAGAGCACGGCUCCGUGUGCUCUGGGGCGGCUUCGCGCAGCGGGAUGCUGUGGGACGUGGCGCAAACACCUUGCCACGUCCUCCCGUUAGGUGCUCCUGUCGUCCUGCAGGGCUGGCACUGCUGGCAGGCGAUCUCCCCGCUCCGGGCGUGAGGGAUGAGGGGUUCGGAGCUGCUGGCAGUGGCACAUGACUCUUGCAGCGGCCAGCGUAUGGACCUGAGUGCAGUUCAUGUGCGACCCCUGGAGAGGCUGGGGGCACCUGGGGCGCUGGAUGAACAGAGAUCAGUGCGCUUCAGUGGGGAUGGCGGAUGGCAUCUGGGUCCCCAAGGCCACCACAAGGUACAGACCUCAGGCACAGCAGAAAAGAGAUGCACGCACCCACGGCUUCCUUUAAAGAAUGUUAG